CUGGCUCUGGCUCACCCUCGCACCGUCACCCGCGCACCCCACCACCCGAUUCCCGAGCCGACCCACCAUUUCUGGCUUUCCGCCUUCUCUUCUCCUCCCUCCCUCCCGCAGCGCCGUCGCCGCGCAUACAUCUCCACACCCAGCAGCAGCAGCAGCAAAGAACGCCGCCGCCGCCGCCGAGGACGACGAAGACGGACGAGGAGGAGGGGCAUCUGCUGGGUUCCGCCGCAGGGAGAGUUGAAUAAUGGAGUUCGUGCUGAUCAUCUCUUUGCCGCUCCUCAUCCUGAUCAUAAUCGUCGCUGUGGUUCUUUGCAUCAUCUGCCGUUAGCUGAAUGGGUGACACUUCAUUGUUCUUCAGGCCCAUCCUUGAUGUGAACAUAUCAUGUACUAUUAACUAGCAUAUCAUGAUUCAUUCAUGACUCAACAGAGCUUCUUAUACUUUCUUUUGGGAGGGCCUGUGUGUUUGUGAUUAGUUGGCCCUAGCUUUACCUUUUUUUUUUCUGAUGGCAGCAAAAAUACAUUGAUUCUGAGUGUCAUAUACAUAUGUGCUGUGAGAAUCC
Molecule: long non-coding RNA, 560 nt
Organism: Oryza brachyantha (malo sina)
Lineage: Eukaryota; Viridiplantae; Streptophyta; Magnoliopsida; Poales; Poaceae
Exons: 2
Source: RefSeq, a predicted model, not a curated record